This 261-nucleotide ribosomal RNA is filed under the name uncultured bacterium. RNAcentral describes it as "partial 16S ribosomal RNA". It matches the Rfam family "Bacterial small subunit ribosomal RNA", at positions 92 to 354 of the family's 1533-position model. The record is from RNAcentral.
CGACCGGCGCACGGGUGAGUAACACGUAUCCAACCUGCCGAUGACUCGGGGAUAGCCUCUCGAAAGAAAGAUUAAUACCCGAUGGCAUAGUUCUUCCGCAUGGUAGAACUAUUAAAGAAUUUCGGUCAUCGAUGGAGAUGCGUUCCAUUAGCUUGUUGGCGGGGUAACGGCCCACCAAGGCAUCGAUGGAUAGGGGUUCUGAGAGGAAGGUCCCCCACAUUGGAACUGAGACACGGUCCAAACUCCUACGGAAGGCAGCAG